This 442-nucleotide ribosomal RNA is filed under the name uncultured bacterium. RNAcentral describes it as "partial 16S ribosomal RNA". It matches the Rfam family "Bacterial small subunit ribosomal RNA", at positions 338 to 795 of the family's 1533-position model. The record is from RNAcentral.
CCUACGGGAGGCAGCAGUAGGGAAUCUUUCACAAUGGGCGAAAGCCUGAUGGAGCAACGCCGCGUGCAGGAUGAAGGCCUUCGGGUUGUAAACUGCUUUUAUAAGCGAGAAAUAUGAUGGUAACUUAUGAAUAAGGAUCGGCUAACUACGUGCCAGCAGCCGCGGUCAUACGUAGGAUCCGAGCAUUAUCCGGAGUGACUGGGUGUAAAGAGUUGCGUAGGUGGCAUAAUAAGUAGCUAGUGAAAUCUGGUGGCUCAACCAUUCAGACUAUUAGCUAAACUGUUAAGCUCGAGACCGUUAGGGGUAACUGGAAUUUCUAGUGUAGGAGUGAAAUCCGUAGAUAUUAGGAGGAACACCAAUAGCGUAGGCAGGUUGCUGGGACGGUUCUGACACUAAGGCACGAAAGCGUAGGGAGCAAACGGGAUUAGAUACCCCAGUAGUC